This 406-nucleotide ribosomal RNA is filed under the name uncultured bacterium. RNAcentral's name for it is "partial 16S ribosomal RNA". It matches the Rfam family "Bacterial small subunit ribosomal RNA", at positions 30 to 526 of the family's 1533-position model. The record is from RNAcentral.
AUUGAACGCUGGCGGCAGGCCUAACACAUGCAAGUCGAACGAGUGGCGGACGGGUGAGUAAUGUCUGGGAAACUGCCCGAUGGAGGGGGAUAAAUACUGGAAAAGGUAGCUAAUCCCGCAUACCAUCGGAUGUGCCCAGAGGGGAUUAGCUAGUUGGUGGGGUAACGGCUCACCUAGGCGACGAUCCCUAGCUGGUCUGAGAGGAUGACCAGCCACACUGGAACUGAGACACGGUCCAGACUCCUACGGGAGGCAGCAGUGGGGAAUAGUGCACAAUGGGCGCAAGCCUGAUGCAGCCAUGCCGCGUGUAUGAAGAAGGCCCUAGGGUUGUAAAGUACUUUCAGUCGGGAGGCGUUACCGACAGAAGAAGCACCGGCUAACUCCGUGCCAGCAGCCGCGGUAAUUC